UGUAAGCGUAUACCAAAGUUGUUGCAGUUAAAAACGCUCGUAGUCGGAUUUUGGUAGUUCCGGAUCUGUGCGCGUCGUGCGCGCAGUUUGCAGGGGCUGCUUUUGUGGGCAUGCGUCGGAUGAGGCGACUUUAUUGUUGAACGUCCGUACGCAACCACCAUUUACUGUGAAAAAUUAGAGUGUUCAAAGCAGGCAUUUGCCGUGAAUACAUUAGCAUGGAAUAAUAGAAUAGGACUUGGUCUUAUUUUGUUGGUUUGUUAUGGCCGAGUAAUGAUUAAGAGGGACAGUUGGGGGGCAUUUGUAUUCCGGAGCUAGAGGUGAAAUUCUUAGAUUUCCGGAAGACAAACAGCUGCGAAAGCGUCUGCCAAGGAUGUUUUCAUUGAUCAAGAACGAAAGUAAGGGGAUCGAAGAUGAUCAGAUACCAU
RNAcentral lists this ribosomal RNA (425 nucleotides) under uncultured eukaryote. RNAcentral describes it as "SSU rRNA". It matches the Rfam family "Eukaryotic small subunit ribosomal RNA", at positions 592 to 1018 of the family's 1831-position model. The record is from RNAcentral.